RNAcentral lists this transfer RNA (65 nucleotides) under Ogadenus brumpti. RNAcentral's name for it is "tRNA-Cys". Lineage: Eukaryota; Metazoa; Arthropoda; Arachnida; Ixodida; Argasidae. RNAcentral also lists the same sequence under 1 other name. The record is from RNAcentral.
GGUCUUAUAUAUUAUAUAAUUAAAUUAUUAAACUGCAAGUUUAAAGAAGAAAAAGUCUAAGACUU